This 440-nucleotide ribosomal RNA is filed under the name uncultured bacterium. RNAcentral describes it as "bacterial SSU rRNA". It matches the Rfam family "Bacterial small subunit ribosomal RNA", at positions 29 to 510 of the family's 1533-position model. The record is from RNAcentral.
AACGAACGCUGGCGGCAGGCUUAACACAUGCAAGUCGAACGGGCGCGAGCAAUCGCGUCAGUGGCAGACGGGUGAGUAACACGUGGGAACCUUCCUAGGGGUACGGAACAACUCAGGGAAACUUGAGCUAAUACCGUAUACGUCCGUAAGGAGAAAGAUUCAUCGCCCCUAGACGGGCCCGCGUCGGAUUAGCUAGUUGGUGGGGUAACGGCCUACCAAGGCGACGAUCCGUAGCUGAUCUGAGAGGAUGAUCAGCCACACUGGGACUGAGACACGGCCCAGACUCCUACGGGAGGCAGCAGUGGGGAAUCUUGGACAAUGGGCGCAAGCCUGAUCCAGCCAUGCCGCGUGAGUGAAGAAGGCCUUAGGGUUGUAAAGCUCUUUUACCAGGGACGAUAAUGACGGUACCUGGAGAAUAAGCCCCGGCAAACUUCGUGCCA